RNAcentral lists this ribosomal RNA (405 nucleotides) under uncultured bacterium. RNAcentral describes it as "partial 16S ribosomal RNA". It matches the Rfam family "Bacterial small subunit ribosomal RNA", at positions 30 to 526 of the family's 1533-position model. The record is from RNAcentral.
AUUGAACGCUAGCGGGAUGCUUUACACAUGCAAGUCGAACGAGUGGCGGACGGGUGAGUAAUAUAUCGGACCGUGCCCAGUAGCGGGGGAUAAGUACCGGAAAGAGAGGCUAAUAACGCAUACAAUAGGAGAGGCGGGUAUCGGAUUAGCUAGUUGUUGGGGUAAAGGCUCACCAAGGCCACGAUCCGUAGCUGGUUUGAGAGGACGACCAGCCACACUGGGACUGAGACACGGCCCAGACUCCUACGGGAGGCAGCAGUGGGGAAUUUUGGACAAUGGGGGAAACCCUGAUGCAGCCAUCCCGCGUGUAUGAGAAGGCCUUCGGGUUGUAAAGUACUUUUGGCAGAGAAGCGGUAUCUGCAGAAUAAGCACCGGCUAACUACGUGCCAGCAGCCGCGGUAAUAC